Helicoverpa armigera (cotton bollworm) is the source of this 558-nucleotide long non-coding RNA. RefSeq lists it as uncharacterized. Lineage: Eukaryota; Metazoa; Arthropoda; Insecta; Lepidoptera; Noctuidae. The record is from RefSeq and is a predicted model, not a curated record. The transcript is spliced from 2 exons.
GUCAGUAUAUGUUGGAAAAUUGUAUAUUAAUAAACAUGAAAUAGGAGCAAAUUAUCAAUAUUUUAUCAGUCUAAAUAAAUAUUUUAAGUAUCAUUCUUCAGCAUAUUUUCCAUUGAUGGUAAUAUUGUUUUUUGUUUCUUACGUAUAACCGUUCGCCAUCAUAAAAUAAUCAAAUAAAAUAGAAUUAAAAUUAACACAUCAAUUAAGGAACUACCUACAGAUUUGAUCACAAAAUAAUUCAGUGUUUAUAAGAUCAUAAUUUGUACAAAUAGCACAUCACAUUGCGUAGUUAAGUAUUACAAUUUCACAAACUUUUGUCAUACAAUAUUGUUGACACACCUUAGCUGAGACCUACUUGAUCCUAUCUAGGGCUUCGGGUCUGAAAAGGCUUAAAAUUCACAAACAUCCCUUUAGCUCUAAAGCUUUUUCCAAUGCCCACGCAUUUAGAACAAGUUGUACCUAGUAGGUAAUUGUAAAUUUACUAUCUAUUACGUAUUUUAAUUCCGAUUCAUUCUGCAUUUAUUAGGAAAAUACUAUAAUAAAGUUAACCUAAUAUUA